This 464-nucleotide ribosomal RNA is filed under the name uncultured Anaerolineaceae bacterium. Its description in RNAcentral is "bacterial SSU rRNA". It matches the Rfam family "Bacterial small subunit ribosomal RNA", at positions 903 to 1382 of the family's 1533-position model. Lineage: Bacteria; Bacillati; Chloroflexota; Anaerolineae; Anaerolineales; Anaerolineaceae. The record is from RNAcentral.
AAAGGAAUUGACGGGGGCCCGCACAAGCAGCGGAGCGUGUGGUUUAAUUCGAUGAUACACGAAGAACCUUACCCAGGCUUGACAUGUUGGUAGUAGGGAUCCGAAAGGUGACCGACCUUCGGGGAGCCUUCACAGGUGCUGCAUGGCUGUCGUCAGCUCGUGUCGUGAGAUGUCCGGUUAAGUCCGGUAACGAGCGCAACCCUCGCUGUGUGUUAUAUGUGUCACACGGGACUGCCGGUAUCAAGCCGGAGGAAGGUGGGAUGACGUCAAGUCAGCAUGGCCUUUAUGUCUGGGGCUACACACACGCUACAAUGGCCAGUACAAUAGGUUGCAAGACCGCGAGGUGGAGCCAAUCCUUAAAGCUGGUCUCAGUUCGGAUUGCAGGCUGCAACUCGCCUGCAUGAAGUCGGAGUUGCUAGUAACCGCGCGUCAGCUAUAGUGCGGUGAAUACGUUCCCGGGCCUU